UACAUGUGGGGCAAGCGUUGUUCGGAAUUACUGGGCGUAAAGCGCACGUAGGCGGCUUUGUAAGUUAGAGGUGAAAGCCCAGGGCUUAACCCUGGAAUUGCCUUUAAGACUGCAUCGCUAGAAUCGUGGAGAGGUGAGUGGAAUUCCGAGUGUAGAGGUGAAAUUCGUAGAUAUUCGGAAGAACACCAGUGGCGAAGGCGACUCACUGGACACGUAUUGACGCUGAGGUGCGAAAGCGUGGGGAGCAAACAGG
Molecule: ribosomal RNA, 253 nt
Filed under: uncultured bacterium
Lineage: Bacteria
Description: partial 16S ribosomal RNA
Rfam family: Bacterial small subunit ribosomal RNA
Source: RNAcentral